CCUACGGGGGGCUGCAGUGAGGAAUAUUGGUCAAUGGUCGGGAGACUGAACCAGCCAAGCCGCGUGAGGGAUGAAGGUACAGAGUAUCGUAAACCUCUUUUGUCAGGGAACAAAGGCGGGGACGCGUCCCCGGAUGAGUGUACCUGAAGAAAAAGCAUCGGCUAACUCCGUGCCAGCAGCCGCGGUAAUACGGAGGAUGCGAGCGUUAUCCGGAUUUAUUGGGUUUAAAGGGUGCGCAGGCCGCAUGUCAAGCUUGCGGUGAAAUGUCCGGGCUCAACCCGGGCCUUGCAGCGCGAACUGGCGUGCUUGAGUCCGCGGAAAGCAGGCGGAAUGCGUCGUGUAGCGGUGAAAUGCUUAGAUAUGACGAAGAACCCCGAUUGCGAAGGCAGCUUGCUGCAGCGGAACUGACGCUGAUGCUCGAAAGCGCGGGUAUCGAACAGGAUUAGAUACCCCAGUAGUC
Molecule: ribosomal RNA, 460 nt
Filed under: uncultured bacterium
Lineage: Bacteria
Description: partial 16S ribosomal RNA
Rfam family: Bacterial small subunit ribosomal RNA
Source: RNAcentral